RNAcentral lists this ribosomal RNA (465 nucleotides) under Vreelandella stevensii. Its description in RNAcentral is "partial 16S ribosomal RNA". It matches the Rfam family "Bacterial small subunit ribosomal RNA", at positions 338 to 795 of the family's 1533-position model. Lineage: Bacteria; Pseudomonadati; Pseudomonadota; Gammaproteobacteria; Oceanospirillales; Halomonadaceae. The record is from RNAcentral.
CCUACGGGUGGCAGCAGUGGGGAAUAUUGGACAAUGGGCGAAAGCCUGAUCCAGCCAUGCCGCGUGUGUGAAGAAGGCCUUCGGGUUGUAAAGCACUUUCAUUGGGGAAGAAAGCCUUGGGGCUAAUACCCUCGAGGAAGGACAUUACCCACAGAAUAAGCACCGGCUAACUCCGUGCCAGCAGCCGCGGUAAUACGGAGGGUGCGAGCGUUAAUCGGAAUUACUGGGCGUAAAGCGCGCGCAGGCGGUCUUAUAAGCCGGUUGUGAAAGCCCCGGGCUCAACCUGGGAACUGCAUCCGGAACUGUAAGGCUAGAGUGCAGGAGAGGGAGGUAGAAUUCCCGGUGUAGCAGUGAAAUGCGUAGAGAUCGGGAGGAAUACCAGUGGCGAAGGCGGCCUUCUGGACUGGCACUGACGCUGAGGUGCGAAAGCGUGGGUAGCAAACAGGAUUAGAUACCCCGGUAGUC